AGAGCGCAGCCCGCGCCACCCGGCGCCUCAGUUGAGGGCAGCCCGUUCAUAGCCAGGCCAGCACGGACCGCGAUGCCGCCUGCACCCCUCCUACGUCUUCGGCGGACUGCUACCCAGAGGACUAGCUCCGUGUGGCUCGGCCUCCGGAGAGCCCAGCCGCCGCCCGCAGGUCGUGCUUUGUUCCGUCCCAGGAUCCUCCGACUCCGCCUAUGCUCCACCCCCUCUGCAUGGGUGGGGCCUCUCUUAACGCGGCGAUGACCCUGGAGCCCAAAACCCAUCUAAGAACUGGAUGGGAGAGUGCACACUCGGACCCUCACCCGGAUUAUCUUUAUCUACGUCUGAGUCGAGCUCCUGACAAGCCACGCAGUAGAUUUUCCGCUGUUUAUCUUGCAGGAGGAUCGUCUAGGAACCAGAAAGUACAUGGACAUAGGUGAGCCUGAGGCAGGGUCCACGGGAGAGAGAGCUGAGGAAAGGUCGGGCGGUCUAGUCCGCGGCCUCAGCCUCAUCACUCGCCUCACCCCGCAGUCCGCGCACGUGUCGCCUAGCAUGCGGUAACCACGGAGCAGGUAGUCGCCCAUGAGACGAGAGAUGCGAUCCUGCCGCUCCCGUCGCGCCUGCAGCACCUUCGUCUCAGCUUCAGUCGGAGGCUCCCAGGUGAAAUCAUCGACAUCUAGAGGAAACAGGCACGGGAGAUGGAGAACUGCCUCCCGCACCGCACGGCCACUGCCCAAACAACCCCUAGCGCUCACCUGCACCGUUCAAGGCCAUGUUGCCGUGGUCACUGCUGGGCUCACCGGAAGUGAUGCAAAUAAGACGCGCCCCCACUACGGCUCCGCCUCCCACGUGUAGUGGCUGAAGGCGGAAGUGACGUUUACAUGGUCUUCCUGGCGCUUUACUCAAAGGGGGGCGUGUCUGCUGCACCUUUAACCCUGAUUUACAGGCCCUGCUAGUAGCCAGGACUAUCGAUAGGUACCGCAGUCUCCCUGGUAACACUUCAGUACUCGGGUGGCUUUUCAGAGUCUCCAUUUCUACUUGCCGCUUUUCUACUUGCGGCACAUAGAGUGGCCCUUUGGUCUGUGAAAUACCCGAUUCCUCCACACAGGUGGAGCAGGAGGCAGGCGGGACCAUGAUGACAUCUGCCCAGCAGUCACUGCAAUAAAAAGUUCUCUGCGGCCG
Mastomys coucha (southern multimammate mouse) is the source of this 1176-nucleotide long non-coding RNA. RefSeq lists it as uncharacterized. Lineage: Eukaryota; Metazoa; Chordata; Mammalia; Rodentia; Muridae. The transcript is spliced from 2 exons. The record is from RefSeq and is a predicted model, not a curated record.